Molecule: microRNA precursor, 194 nt
Organism: Oryza sativa Japonica Group (Japanese rice)
Lineage: Eukaryota; Viridiplantae; Streptophyta; Magnoliopsida; Poales; Poaceae
Rfam family: MIR812 microRNA precursor family
Source: Rfam
AAAGACUCAAUUCCUGGGGUUUUUAUGUCUAACGUUUGACCGUCCGUCUUAUAUGAAAUUUUUUUAUGAUUAAUAUUUUCAUUAUUGUUAGAUGAUAAAACAUGAAUAAUACUUAUGCAUGAUUUAUCUUUUUAUUUUUGUCAUAACUUUUUCAAAUAAAACGAACGGUUAAACAUUAGACACGGAAGCCUAAA